UACAUCCCUUCUCUGUAAUUGAAUGUGAUUCCCAGGAAGAAGAAAUUUCUUGAACCAUUUUGCCGAUUUUUUCAGAUACCUUUUCAAUCCAUUUUUGUAGUCUACAUAGACCAUUCCAAAACGAAUUUCAUAACCAUCUUCCCAUUCAAAAUUGUCUAGAAGUGACCAUCCAAAGUAUCCCUUUAUUUUCACGCCACUCUUAAUUGCUUUCUGGACGAAUGAAAGAUGAUCAUUGAAGUAACGAAUUCUAUAGUCAUCCUCUACAAUUAUCCAAUCAGUAUCAAGCUCACUAACUCCAUUCUCAGUAAUGUAAAUGAUUGGAUCAUUAAACUUGUUCUUGGUGUAGAGCAAAAGAUCUAGAAUUCCUCUUGGAUACACAUAAAGCCAAUCUGAUCCUGUCGCAGGACCAAUGGGAAUCCCAUUU
RNAcentral lists this unclassified non-coding RNA (424 nucleotides) under Hevea brasiliensis (rubber tree). The record is from RNAcentral. Lineage: Eukaryota; Viridiplantae; Streptophyta; Magnoliopsida; Malpighiales; Euphorbiaceae.